AACCAUAACCAGACUGUGGUUUUUAGUUUUCUUGGUCAAGUUAGAUAACAUGCAUCUUAGUCAAGCCGAGACAGCUAACGAUUUAGAAUGGGACACACAUAUUGAAGCAUAUGACUUGGUCGUUGAGCAGUUCCGAGACUUGAGGGACGAGUUUGUUUCUGUUUUAGUUGUUUCUUGCUGAAUAAGUCAUCCUAAUUAUUAGGAUCAGAGUAGCUAGACGUUGAGACUUUUACGCUAGUUUGUUAUCUUCAGUUUCUAUUUAAGCUUAUGUAAUUCCUCGUUUAUGCAAUAAGAAAACUAUUCAGUUCAUUUUCUUCUCUUAGUUUUGUGUUCUAAAUACAACAAGUGGUAUCAGAGCUCUUAUCUUAAUUGAGUAAACGAGCUGCUGUGAGAAACAAAAGAGAGAUCAAAAUGAGUGAGAAAGAUAGGUCACUGAGCAUUCCUAAGUUUGAUGGUGACUAUGAGCAUUGGGCUAUGCUCAUGGAGAAUUUGUUGAGAUCCAAGGAAUGGUGGGAACUCAUCGAGACAGGAGUGUCUCAACCGGAGAGAAACGCGAUCGUGACGGAGGCACAACAGACAGAAAUCGCAGAACAGAAGCUGAAGGACUUGAAGGUGAAGAACUAUCUCUUUGCAUCUAUUGACAAAUCGAUCUUGAAGACGAUCGCAAAGAAGGAUACUUCCAAAGAUAUCUCGGAGUCCAUGAAGGUGAAGUAUCAAGGCAACAAGAGGGUUCAAAGCGCUCAACUCCAGAGGCUACGAAGGAACUUUGAGGUGUUAGAGAUGAAAGAAGGAGAUACCAUCACAGAUUACUUCGCUAGAGUAAUGAUGGUAGCCAAUGAUAUGAGGAAUCUUGGAGAAGAGAUGCCGGAUGACAAGAUUGUAGAGAAGAUACUCAGGACACUUGUGGAAAAAUUCACAUACGUGGUGUGUGCGAUUGAGGAAUCCAAAGACAUCAAGGAGCUCACGGUGGACGAGCUACAGAGUUCCCUACUGGUACACGAGCAGAAUCUCAGUAAGCAUGAGAAUGGUGAUGAACGAACACUGAAAAUGGAGGGAAACAGAGGACGUGGUAGCUAUGGAAGAGGAAGAGGAGGAGGUUACAGAGGAGGAAGAGGUGGUAGAGGAGGCUCCAGCUUCGACAAAAGCAAUGUGGAGUGCUACAAAUGUCACAAGUUAGGGCACUUCAAAAACGAGUGUCCUCUAUGGGAGAGAGCAGCCAACUAUGCUGAGUUGGAAGAAGACGUACUGCUGAUGGCGAUGGUGGAUAAGAAGGAGGAGCUAGUGUGGUAUCUAGACUCAGGAUGCUCGAAUCAUAUGUGCGGAUCCAAAGGGUGGUUUGUCAGUCUGGAUGAGAGUUUCAGACAACAAGUGAAGCUUGGUGAUGAUAGAAGAAUGCAAGUAGAAGGAAGAGGAGACUUAAGAUUGGAGAUUGAUGGUAUUGUGCAAGUAAUCUCCUCGGUCUACUUUGUGCCAGGGUUGAGAAACAAUCUUCUAAGCGUGGGGCAGCUGCAACAGAAAGGCUUGAAGAUCGUCAUAGAAGACAACGAGUGCAGAGUUUGGCACAAACAUCAGAAACGGAUGAUCAUGCAUUCAAAAAUGUCUGUUAACCGUAUGUUUGUCAUCUUAGCUACGGUGAUGGAGCCCAAGGAGUGUCUGGAGACAAAUCAAGUGAGCAUUACGGAUGAGGCACCAGAGGAAACAUGGCAUAAGAGGUUUGGUCACCUUGGUCUCACCUCUCUAGCCAGUCUUGCGGAGAAAGACAUGGUAACGGGUCUUCCUGCUAUCGCCAAGACUGGAGCAGUCUGUGAAGUGUGCAUGAAGGGGAAACAGAAUCGAGCAAACAUACCAAAACACAGUGAGUGGAGAUCAAAGAAGAAACUGGAGCUGGUACACAGUGACAUCUGCGGGCCUAUCUCACCAACCUCAGAGAGUGGGAAGAGGUACAUCAUAAACUUUAUUGACGACUUUAGUAGAAAAUGUUGGACAUAUUUUCUCAGUGAGAAAUCAGAGGCGUUAAGAGUGUUUAAGGAGUUUAAGGUGGCGGCUGAAAGAGAAACAGGAGAGUGGUUAGUAUGUCUGAGAACCGAUAGGGGUGGAGAGUACAACUCAAAGGCCUUCCAAGACUUCUGCGUUGACAACGGUAUCAAGAGACAACUCACUGCGGCUUAUACACCUCAGCAAAAUGGCAUCGCAGAAAGGAAGAACAGAAGCAUUAUGAACAUGGUGAGGUGUAUGUUAUUUGGAAUGAAAGUUCCACUGAGGUUCUGGCCUGAGGCGACGCAGUAUGCAGUCCACAUUCUGAACCGAAGUCCAACGGCAAUACUGGGAGAUGUCACUCCAUCAGAGAAAUGGAGCAAGCACAAACCGUCAGUAGAACAUCUCCGAGUGUUUGGAUGUCUAGCCUACGCCAUGAUCCCAUAUGAGAAGAGAACCAAGCUAGAAGAGAAGAGCGUUAAGUGCGUAAUGUUUGGGGUUAGUAAGGAGUCAAAGGCGUACCGUCUCUAUGAUCCCACUACAAAGAAGAUCAUCAUCAGUAAAGACGUAAGGUUCGAUGAAGAAAAGAUGUGGAAUUGGGAAGAGAAACCGGAUGAGGAUGAAGUCUUGAAAGACAUCGCUGAGACAGAAGAAGCGACAGAAGCUGUGGAUACUGAGGCUGCGGGUAGAGAAGAACCACUAGAGACUCGCGGUGAAGAAGAAGAAGUUGCAGAAACCGAUCAAACUGGUGAACAAGCAGUUACAAACGAAGAGACAAGAGCAGUUGGGUCAAACAGAGCUGGUAGAAACAUACAAAGACCAACGUGGAUGAAAGAUUACGUCUGUGAAGGACUGAGUAUGAUCAUUGAAGAAGGCGAGGCAGAGCUUAUGGCUCUGUUCAUUGGAGAAGACGAUCCAGAGAAGUUUGAGGAAGCUAUAAAAGAAGAGAAAUGGAGGAAGGCGAUGGAGGCAGAGAUAAAGUCUAUCAACGAUAACAAUACUUGGGAGUUGGUAGACUUGCCAGAUGGUGCUAAGGUGAUUGGUGUGAAAUGGAUUUUCAAAACCAAGUUCAACGAGAAAGGAGACAUAGACAAGUUCAAGGCAAGGCUUGUAGCAAAGGGGUUUCAUCAAACUCACGGCGUCGAUUUUCAUGAGGUCUUCGCACCUGUUGCAAGAUGGGACACAAUAAGGUUGAUUCUUGGUUUGGCGGCUCAACAAGGGUGGAUAGUCCAACAGCUUGACGUAAAGAGCGCGUUUCUUCACGGAGAGCUAAAUGAGGACAUGUACGUUGAGCAACCUAAGGGCUUUGAGUGCAGAGAAGAAGAAGGAAAGGUUUACAAGUUAAACAAAGCCUUGUAUGGUCUGAGACAAGCUCCAAGAGUUUGGUAUAGCAGGAUUGAAGGUUACUUUGUCAAAGAAGGAUUCCAGAAAUGCUACUGCGAGCAUACCUUGUUUGUGAAGACUGAGAAGGAAGGUAUUCUUAUCAUUAGUCUUUAUGUUGAUGACUUGAUAUAUACAAGUAAUUCGGGUGAGCUCCUCAAGAGGUUUAAAGCCUCCAUGGAAAACGAAUUUGCCAUGACUGAUCUUGGACAGAUGAAAUACUUUCUCGGUGUGGAAGUUAUUCAAGAUGAUCAUGGCAUUUUCGUUAGCCAAAAGAAGUAUGCAGAGGACAUGUUGAAGAAGUUCGGUAUGGAGGAGUGCAAUGCGGUGAGAAACCCAAUGGUUCCUGGUAACAGACUAACCAAAGAUGGAGAUGGAACCAGCGUUGAUCCUACUUCGUUCAAGCAGCUGGUGGGAAGUCUCAGAUACUUAACCGCUACAAGGCCAGAUCUCAUCUACUCCGUCAACCUAGUGAGCAGAUAUAUGGAGAAACCUGGAGAAUCACAUCUGUCGGCAGCAAAAAGGAUCUUGAGGUAUGUUCAAGGAACUCGAGAGUAUGGUAUUCAGUACAAAAGAGGUGGGGAUGCGAGUCUAGUUGGCUAUGUGGAUAGCGACUAUGCAGGUGAUGAGGACGAUAGAAAGAGUACUUCAGGGUAUACCUUCAUGUGGAGUGGUGGAGCAGUCUCAUGGGCAUCAAAGAAGCAACCUAUUGUCACACUCUCCACUACGGAAGCAGAGUAUGUGUCGGCAGCUUAUGGGGCGUGUCAAGCUGUUUGGUUGAAGAAUGUUCUCAGCGAAAUUGGAUUGGAUCAAGAAGAAGGUAUAACUAUGUUCUGUGACAACAGCUCUGCAAUCAAGCUUUCAAGGAAUCCAGUGCUACAUGGGAAGAGCAAGCAUAUCAGCGUAAGGUAUCAUUUCUUGCGUGAACUUGUCAGUGAAGGUGUGAUCAAUUUGGACUAUUGUUCCACGUAAGAACAGAUAUCAGAUAUCAUGACAAAGCCGGUGAAGUUAGACGUGUUCGAGAAGUUAAGGAAGAUGUUAGGAGUUGGUCCGAAGGAAGAAGUAAACUGAAACAGAGUGUUUGCAGUUUAAGGGAGGGAUUGAAGCAUAUGACUUGGUCGUUGAGCAGUUCCGAGACUUGAGGGACAAGUUUGUUUUUGUUUUAGUUGUUUCUUGCUGAAUAAGUCAUCCUAAUUAUUAGGAUCAGAAUAGCUAGACGUUGAGACUUUUACGCUAGUUUAUUAUCUUCAGUUUCUAUUUAAGCUUAUGUAAUUCCUCGUUUAUGCAAUAAGAAAACUAUUCAGUUCAUCUUCUUCUCUUAGUUUUGUGUUCUAAAUACAACACAUAUUUCGUUUUUAAAUUGACAAACUUGUCACGAAGAAAAAUGGGUAAAUUUUAUUCAAAGAUCCAAACACCGCAACUUCCCUGACGAUUUCCCCAUAUCGAAAUCGUUAGUACAUAUUUUUAUUUUUCACAGCUUCAAAU
This 4839-nucleotide long non-coding RNA is filed under the name Brassica rapa (field mustard). RNAcentral's name for it is "long non-coding RNA (BRAP_LNC000151)". Lineage: Eukaryota; Viridiplantae; Streptophyta; Magnoliopsida; Brassicales; Brassicaceae. The record is from RNAcentral.